CAAGCGUUGUUCGGAAUUACUGGGCGUAAAGGGUUCGUAGGUGGCCGACUAAGUCAGACGUGAAAUCCCUCAGCUUAACUGGGGAACUGCGUCUGAUACUGGUUGGCUUGAGGACAGGAGAGGAACGCGGAAUUCCAGGUGUAGCGGUGAAAUGCGUAGAUAUCUGGAGGAACACCGGUGGCGAAGGCGGCGUUCUGGACUGUUUCUGACACUGAGGAACGAAAGCCAGGGGAGCAAACGGG
RNAcentral lists this ribosomal RNA (242 nucleotides) under uncultured bacterium. Its description in RNAcentral is "partial 16S ribosomal RNA". It matches the Rfam family "Bacterial small subunit ribosomal RNA", at positions 535 to 776 of the family's 1533-position model. The record is from RNAcentral.